AUUGAACGCUGGCGGCAGGCCUAACACAUGCAAGUCGAGCGGAUGAAGGGAGCUUGCUCCUGGAUUCAGCGGCGGACGGGUGAGUAAUGCCUAGGAAUCUGCCUGGUAGUGGGGGAUAACGUCCGGAAACGGGCGCUAAUACCGCAUACGUCCUGAGGGAGAAAGUGGGGGAUCUUCGGACCUCACGCUAUCAGAUGAGCCUAGGUCGGAUUAGCUAGUUGGUGGGGUAAAGGCCUACCAAGGCGACGAUCCGUAACUGGUCUGAGAGGUUGAUCAGUCACACUGGAACUGGGACACGGUCCAGACUCCUACGGGAGGCAGCAGUGGGGAAUAUUGGACAAUGGGCGAAAGCCUGAUCCAGCCAUGCCGCGUGUGUGAAGAAGGUCUUCGGAUUGUAAAGCACUUUAAGUUGGGAGGAAGGGCAGUAAGUUAAUACCUUGCUGUUUUGACGUUACCAACAGAAUAAGCACCGGCUAACUUCGUG
This 484-nucleotide ribosomal RNA is filed under the name uncultured bacterium. Its description in RNAcentral is "partial 16S ribosomal RNA". It matches the Rfam family "Bacterial small subunit ribosomal RNA", at positions 30 to 507 of the family's 1533-position model. The record is from RNAcentral.